GGAUAUAGCUCAGUCGGUACAGUGCUUGCCUCACAUGCACAAGACCCUGGGUUCAAUCCCCAGCACCA
This 68-nucleotide transfer RNA is filed under the name Marmota monax (woodchuck). RNAcentral's name for it is "tRNA.Val". Lineage: Eukaryota; Metazoa; Chordata; Mammalia; Rodentia; Sciuridae. The record is from RNAcentral.